This 1324-nucleotide ribosomal RNA is filed under the name metagenome. RNAcentral's name for it is "bacterial SSU rRNA". It matches the Rfam family "Bacterial small subunit ribosomal RNA", at positions 8 to 1247 of the family's 1533-position model. The record is from RNAcentral.
AGAGUUUGAUUCUGGCUCAGGAUGAACGCUGGCGGCAUGCUUAACACAUGUAAGUUGAACGCAGGCACUCUUUAAUCUAAUUAAAGAGUGAAGCUGAGUAGCGGACGGGUGCGUAACGCGUGAAAGAUCUGCCUUUAGGACAAGGAUAACUUCUGGAAACGGGAGCUAAUACUUGAUAUGCUGAGAAGUUAAAAGAGAUAAUCUGCCUAAAGAUGAGUUCGCGUCUGAUUAGCUAGUUGGUAAGAUAAAAGCUUACCAAGGUGACCAUCGGUAGUUGGUUUGAGAGGAUGACCAGCCACAUUGGGACUGAGAUACGGCCCAAACUCCUACGGGAGGCAACAGUGGGGAAUUUUUUGCAAUGGGCGAAAGCCUGACAGAGCAAUGCCGCGUGAAGGAUAUUAAGGUCUGCGGAUCGUAAACUUCUUUUCCCAAGGAAGAUAAUGACGGUACUUGGGGAAUAAGCAUUAGCUAAAUAUGUGCCAGCAGCUGCGGUAAUACAUGUAAUGCAAGCGUUAUCCGGAAUGAUUGGGCGUAAAACGUCUGUAGGUGGUUUUGAAAGUCUAUUGUUAAAUCAUGAGGCUUAACCUCAUAAAGGCAAUGGAAACUUCUUAACUAGCGUGGGGUAGGGGCAGAGGGAAUUACUGGAGGAACGGUGAAAUGUGCAGAUACUAGUAAGAACACCGAUAGCGAAAGCACUCUGCUGGGCCCAUACCGACACUCAGAGACGAAAGCUAGGGGAGCCAAUGGGAUUAGAUACCCCAGUCGUCCUAGCCGUAAACGAUGGCGAUUAAGUAUUGGUAUAUCAAUCAGUGCUGUAGUUAACGCGUUAAAUCGCCUGCCUGGGAACUAUGCUCGCAAGAGUAAAACUCAAAGAAAUUGACGGGGGCUCGUACCAACAGUGGAUGAUGUGGUUUAAUUCGAUUCAACGCGAAGAACCUUACCGGGGAUUGACAUACUACUUAUCUAAUCUGGAAACAGUAAAAUCUAGUGUAGAAUACAGGUGGUGCAUGGCUGUCGUCAGCUCGUGUCGUGAGACGUAUGGUUAAGUCCUAUAACGAGCGCAACCCUUGUGACUAGUUACUUUAUGCCAAGUAACCAAAUCAGAAAGAUUGUUGAAUUAUACUUGUUUAUUAAGUAGGCGGCGCAGAUGUGUUUAGCUUAUUUAAACUAAAUAAAUAUAAUUUUAGCAGGACGCUUGAUUUGUUGGUUGUAAAAAAUAGUCAGACUGCCAGUGAUAAACUGGAGGAAGGUGAGGAUGACGUCAAGUCAGCAUGCCCCUUAUAUCCCGGGCUACACACGUCAUACAAUGGUUAAGACAAAGGGG